GUCUACAGCCAUGCCACCCUGAACAAGCCCAAUCCCAUCUGAUCUCAGAAACCAAGCAGAGUCAGGCCUGGUUAGUAUUUGGAUGGGAGACCACCUAGGAAGACCAGGUGCUGUAGGCA
This 119-nucleotide ribosomal RNA is filed under the name Pteropus alecto (black flying fox). Lineage: Eukaryota; Metazoa; Chordata; Mammalia; Chiroptera; Pteropodidae. The record is from RNAcentral.